This 4832-nucleotide long non-coding RNA is filed under the name Sus scrofa (pig). RNAcentral describes it as "lncRNA (ENSSSCG00000055942.1)". The record is from RNAcentral. Lineage: Eukaryota; Metazoa; Chordata; Mammalia; Artiodactyla; Suidae.
UCUCUUACAAGUGAUGUUGGUUUAAAGCUUCUUUUUUAUUUAGGCUUGAAAAAAGUAGGUAAGGUAAGUAAUACUUAGGACUGGACGAUAGUAAAGGUAGCACAAGGAUAAGCGAAAAUGGUGGUACUUGGGACGUUAGGGAAAUGAGGAUCCGAUUCCACCCCCUCACUUUGCAGCUGAGGAGACUUCCAGACAAACAGGGCAAACUAAAGGUCAUAGAUUGAGCAUUUUCCGAGACUCCCCACUACCCAACUCCCCAUGUGACUGGAGUGGAAGGAGGCUCAAAGCAAGCGCAGAAAUGGCUCUUGCAGUGGUUCCCAUUGUGGCUCUGUAGGUUACAAACCUGACUAGUAUCCAUGAGGAUUCGGGUUGGAUCCUUGGCCUCGCUCAGUGGGUUAAAGAUCCAGUGUUGCCGUAAGCUACAGUGUAGGUCGCAGAUGUGGCUUGGAUCCUGUGUUGCUGUGGCUGUGGGGCGUAGGUAGGCAGCUGUAGCUCUGAUUUGACCCCAGCCUGGGAACUUCCAUUUGUCAUGGGUGCGACCCUUUAAAAAAAAGUAUAAAGAAUAAAAUUCAUUGAAUAAUUUUUAAAAUUCAAUGAGUAAUUAAAAAUAAAAGUUUUCACAGAAUAGUCAAAAUGUGAGAAAAUUAUAUAAUAUACUGUGAAAUAAAAUGCUACAUGAAAUAUCAAAAAAACGCUCUUGCCAAAGCAGCCUGGGCAGGUUCUCUGGGCGUCAUCUGAUUGGGGAAGAGGGUCAUGAAGGACUUUUGAGGGAGAGGCAGGGGCCAUAGACCAGGAAGUGGAGAGCUACCUGGGGCAGAGGUGGGAGGGAGGGGAGUCCUGCUGCAGGGAUGGGCAGAAUAAAGACAGCGUAGUGCCAGGAUGAAUGAAGGCUCUGAAUUGGGAAAGAAGCAGAGACAGGUUCAGCAGAGCCCUGAAUGCCUCAGGGAGGAGUUUGCUGCUUCUCUGAUGGCCCCUGGGAGCCAUUGAGAGUCGUAGAGCAGGAGCACCAUUCUGGGAGAAAUAACCAGUGGCCAUCACCAGGGGCUGGGAGAGGUCUGAGCCAAACAUGCAGAUUUGAGAGCCCCUCCAAAGAGGGGCCAAGGAGUUGACAGGGUGGCCUAGAGAGAGGAAGAAAGGGCCAAGGAGAAGUCAUCAGGCACACCUGCCUUUAGGAAGUGGGAGGAGGAUGAACAGCCAUCAGAGAGGCAAGAGGAGAGGCAGGAGAGUGGAGGAGCUGAAACCGUGAGAGGCCAGAGGGAUGAAAGGAGCAGAGAGCCAGUGCCCAGGCGGCACCAAGUCCGGAGUGGUGGAGCUGGUGCUUGCAUGAGGUGGGGCAGGUUGCAGCCACAGGGUUUCCCCAGUGACAGAAUAUUGAUUUGUUGGCCCCCAAAAUAACAGUUGUCACUCCAAGACAUUGUUUGACUGUCCCUAGGGACUUCUGCUUGGAGAGGCCCGGCCUCUUACCAGCUGUGUGGCUUUGGGCAAAUCACUUUACCUUUCUCUGAACCUCAGUUCCCACCUCUCUAAAAUAGGGAUAAGAACACCGACUUCAUGAGUUGUUGUAAAGAUUAAUGGGAACGGUAUGCAUAAAGUACUUAACAGGUGCCUGGUGGAGGACUAGUGUUCUCAGAUGGAAUUUCUUGGUUGUACCACAACAGAUGAUCAGCGUGCACAUGCUGUGUGCCAGGCUCUGUGCUAGGAACCAACAUACAGCCCUGGGUGAGGGCCACAUCUGCCCUCGAGGAGCUCAUAGGCCUGAGCAACUGACUCUAAGCAUUCUGGAUAACUACCACCCCCACUCCCAGCACAGGCCCAUUUUGCCAGCACUCUAGCCCCUGAGAUUUUUCCCAGGAACUCAUAUUAAAAUAGUUCUCCACUGCCACCUUGCUUUAACAGACAAAACCCAAGCCUCAGGGAUGUGUCUGUGGGUGAGGGCGUGGUUGGUCUCCAAGGGUCCUCUUCCUGGAACUCGACCUUCACCCAGAGUGCCUGCUGCCAGUUGGGGUGCUUGCACUGGGGAGAAAGAGUUAAGGAUGUGAGGGAGCCGUCAUCCUGCUGCAUAUCUGUCUUUUACAAUGUUCUCAUCAGGGCACCCAUCUCACGAGGUCCCAGGGCCUGGAGAGGGAUGCGUAUCCGUGCACAUGGGAGGCUUGGAACAGACUCAGCCCACAGCAGGGAAAUAAAUCUGUAACUGCACAUUGGGGUGAGAGCCACAAGGAAAAGGAGUCUCUUGCGUGCUGGGGGAAGGGAGGUUGUGUGUGGUGUGUUCCGGUUGAGACCUAAAGGUUGAGAAGGAGUAGAGAAUUCCAGGCACAGGCAAUAGUACAGGUGAAGGCCCAGAGGCAUGUUAAGACCUUACCAGUGGUUCUGAAACAGGUGGAGGAGACUGUGGACCACAGGGCAGAGUUGGAUUCUAAGAGUUGAAGCCCCUAAAGGGCUUUAAGUGGUACACUGUUAAAAGUUGUUAUGUAUUUAUUCCAUAAUAUUUACUGUUUUCCUUUAUUUCAGCAAAAUCAUUAUAUUGUUAUAAACAGAAUCAUUGCAUACUUUGUGUUCUAUUUUCAGUAAUGCCAGAUGACAAAACAUUUCUUGGGUCAUUGUAGCUCUUGGUUUUAAUUUGGAGACACUUUGCUCUUCUGAGGCAGAGCAAGAUUCUCACAGCAACACUUAAAUUCAGAAGUGAAUCAUGAAUUUUGUGUAUCAUGCUCAAACGUUGCAGUGGGGUCACAUAGGAUAAAUAAGAGCUCCUGCAGAUAUAUUACACAUAUAUUAAUUUCAUCAUGUGAUUGUGAUCAGUUUCUGAAAACAGCUUUAUUGAGGUAGAAUUGACAUACAGUGAGUUGCACAUAUUUCGACUGUACCAUUCGAUGAGGUUUGAUAUAUGUAUAUGCCUGUGAAACUAUCACUUUAAGGUCUCCAACAUCCAUCACUCCCCACCUUCAUAAGGGAGCAUACAUUUAUGUAUUUAUUUAUGCUUUUCAUUUAUUUUAUUUUUUAGGGCCACACCCACAGCAUAUGGAAGUUCCCAGGCUAGGGGUCGAAUCAGAGCUACAGCUGCUGGCUUACACCAUAGCCACAGUAAUGUGGGAUCUGAGCCGUGUCUGCAACCUACACCACAGUUCGUGGCAACACCAGAUCCUUAACCCAUUGAUCAAGGCCAGGGAUCGAACCAGUAUCCUCACGGAUACUAACUGGGUUCUUUACACUGAGCCACAACAGAAACUUCAGGAGUGUCCUAUUAAAAGACAACCAGUCAGCUGCUAAGCUGGGUCCAGAAGCCUGUUCUACUGUCUCCUAAUUCGGUCCUUUCCAAGAACCCUUGGCUCUGAUGCUGGCUCUGCCAUUCCCUAGCUGUGUGGCCUUGGGCAAGUUACUUAACGUGGCUGCUUCAUCUGUAAAAGAGUACCAGCCACACAGGGCUGUGAAGCAUAGGUAAGGUCAUAUAUAUGAUUAUACCCACACACACAUAUUAUACAAGAAGGGGAGCCCUUAGGACCCCAGGCCCAGCAGGCAGUAAAUAUCGGCCGUUGUUACUUGAUGCAAAGAGCUCUGUAGACGCAUCUGCCUAGAAGUAUCGCAUUGGGAAAUACAAAGAGCCCAGUAGGAUGGAAGGCUGAAAGCCUCUUUCUCCAGGGGAAUUGAGCUGAGACAUUCACCUCGAUGACGCCACUCUUGGGGAUGUCCGUGUUUUAGUUAAUGCUACACUUAUUUGACAGUUUCUUCAGAUCCUUCCGUGUCUUGUCUCAUGUUAAGUAUGUUUCCUAGCAAAUGACAGACUAUCCCAGACCAGGAGGGAGCAGUGGGCUUCACCGUGUGACACUUAAGCUGUCACCAGCUCCUCUCUCCUCCCCAUUACCGGAGGCUGUGGAUGGUGCUCAGCAAAACCUCCCAGAUCUGUUCUCUGACUUAAGACAAGCCCUUGCCCUCCUCUCUCAUCCUUCUCCUUCCAUGCCAGCUACUUAUGCAGCAGCUAGAAAUUGAAAUUUCCAGAUCCCCAGUUCUGUUCAACUCAUAGCUCUGCUCUAAAAUUUUCAUAGAAUAAUCAAAUUCUUUCCCUUGGCAUUGAAGUUUCUUCAGGGUCCAAAACUGGAUCACCCUUCUUGGCUCCAGGUCAGAACCCUUAUGUGCACUGUCAGGAUAGCGCACUGCUGUUCACCAGCUCAGGACCAGGAAGAAUUAGCCUGUAAUCCAUUCCGAAGCAGAGACGCCACAAUUCUAUUGUGAUGAUGGGGGAGUAACAUUUAAAGAAACAUGGACAUCUAAGCAGCUGGCUUUGAGUUGUUCUCAGGAUGGGCACCAUCUUUGGAAAAAUAUGUUAGUAAACACAUUAGAGUGGAGUUUGCAAUUCUAAGGGCAGAGCCUUAAGAGAUGAUGGCAAAUUGCCUGGUGUGAGACAGAGGGGGAAUUUAUGUCCUGAGAAAGAAGUGUGGGGGCGAAUGAGAAGAGAGGAGGGAGGCGAGCUGGCGGGAUGGAGAGCAGCUUGGAUGAAGGGCUGGGAGCACCCCGUCUCAUCUCCACCCCACCCCGUGUUUGUUGGGCUAAACUCAAACAUUUUGGGGGGAGUGAGGGUACGUGCAAUGCAUGUGUGGCAGGGGGUGGGGGCAGGUAAGGUAGAUCUGAAAGGAGGAGCUGAGCAUAUGCAAAUAAGACCGUAAAUCCUUAGCCUCUGGGAAGGUGUAGAAAUUAUGGGAGAGCUCUGGAGUGCUACAGGCUGUUGAGCUUGGGGGAUCUGAGCCUAUUUUACCUACUUUGAUGAUCUUCUGGUUCCAUGUAUAAUUAUUAUUGUCAUUACAAAAAAAAUAUAAAAAGAUACUCCCUCCUAGGAGAAGCAG